AUAUGUAGGUGGCAAGCGUUGUCCGGAAUUAUUGGGCGUAAAGCGCGCGCAGGUGGUUCCUUAAGUCUGAUGUGAAAGCCCCCGGCUCAACCGGGGAGGGUCAUUGGAAACUGGGGAACUUGAGUGCAGAAGAGGAUAGUGGAAUUCCAAGUGUAGCGGUGAAAUGCGUAGAGAUUUGGAGGAACACCAGUGGCGAAGGCGACUGUCUGGUCUGUAACUGACACUGAGGCGCGAAAGCGUGGGGAGCAAACAGGAUUAGAUACCCUGGUAGUCCACGCCGUAAACGAUGAGUGCUAAGUGUUGGGGGGUUUCCGCCCCUCAGUGCUGCAGCUAACGCAUUAAGCACUCCGCCUGGGGAGUACGGUCGCAAGACUGAAACUCAAAGGAAUUGACGGGG
RNAcentral lists this ribosomal RNA (397 nucleotides) under uncultured bacterium. RNAcentral's name for it is "partial 16S ribosomal RNA". It matches the Rfam family "Bacterial small subunit ribosomal RNA", at positions 523 to 918 of the family's 1533-position model. The record is from RNAcentral.